UACGUAGGGUGCAAGCGUUGUCCGGAUUUAUUGGGCGUAAAGAGCUCGUAGGCGGUUCAGUAAGUCGGGUGUGAAAACUCUGGGCUCAACCCAGAGAUGCCACCCGAUACUGCUGUGACUUGAGUACGGUAGGGGAGCAGGGAAUUCCUGGUGUAGCGGUGAAAUGCGCAGAUAUCAGGAGGAACACCGAUGGCGAAGGCAGGUCUCUGGGCCACUACUGACGCUGAGAAGCGAAAGCAUGGGGAGCGAACAGG
Molecule: ribosomal RNA, 254 nt
Filed under: uncultured bacterium
Lineage: Bacteria
Description: partial 16S ribosomal RNA
Rfam family: Bacterial small subunit ribosomal RNA
Source: RNAcentral